GGGGUUGUAGCCUAGUGGUUAGAGCGUCCGGCUCGCGACUUGAAGGUCGGGGGUUCGAUUUCCGAUCCCA
Macrostomum lignano is the source of this 70-nucleotide non-coding RNA. NCBI's taxonomy places the organism in Eukaryota, Metazoa, Platyhelminthes, Macrostomidae. The record is from Rfam.